Oxyura jamaicensis (ruddy duck) is the source of this 318-nucleotide long non-coding RNA. RefSeq lists it as uncharacterized. The transcript is spliced from 4 exons. NCBI's taxonomy places the organism in Eukaryota, Metazoa, Chordata, Aves, Anseriformes, Anatidae. The record is from RefSeq and is a predicted model, not a curated record.
GCAGCCAGUGGUUGGCAAGGGUGGGGCUGGUCGCUGGCACCAGGGUGCUGCAGGUACCGCAGCUGCUGUCAGUGCUUGGAGGCGCAGGCAGCUGCAGGGUUUUGCUGGUGCACGGGGGCUUCGGGGCACAGACGGACAGGGUCCCGGCUGAGGCUGCUGGUGGGGACGAUGGCAGGUCACCGACAGCUCGUCCUCCCCCUUCAAGGCCUGCUGCUCUGCAUCUUGGCUCUGCACUUCAGCUCCUGGGGCCCUCUUGCCACAGCAGAGCAUGAAGUGGCCGCCAACGCCUCCUCGGUGGCCGCCAACGCCUCCUCGGUG